AGUUUUUAUACUUCUCAUUUUCAAUUUUUACUAUUUAGGGAUUAAUAUUUUCUUUCAAACCUUAAAGUAUAUUUCUACACAUUUAUUUGUAUUUAUGUUGCAUUUAGAUGGUACACUCAAGUGUGUUUAUGUCAAUUGAAUCUAAGAAAGUCGUUUUGACUUGUGAUCCUUCGAUGAAAGACCCGUUCUUGAAGGAUUGGGUAGAAAUCAAUUUGUUUUCUUCUUUAAAUAUAAAUUAUGUUGAGUUAUAACCCAAUGUUUAGUUGUUUAAGACCAACAAAAGGCUUUAUGACAAGAAUUUAUCCAGGUACGGUAAGGUUGAAGAUAAUAUUAAAGAAAUUUAUUUUAUAUGUCUGGAUGAG
RNAcentral lists this long non-coding RNA (362 nucleotides) under Lathyrus oleraceus (garden pea). RNAcentral's name for it is "Pisum sativum (pea) long non-coding RNA (PSAT_LNC002963)". The record is from RNAcentral. Lineage: Eukaryota; Viridiplantae; Streptophyta; Magnoliopsida; Fabales; Fabaceae.